RNAcentral lists this ribosomal RNA (468 nucleotides) under uncultured bacterium. Its description in RNAcentral is "partial 16S ribosomal RNA". It matches the Rfam family "Bacterial small subunit ribosomal RNA", at positions 28 to 507 of the family's 1533-position model. The record is from RNAcentral.
GACGAACGCUGGCGGCGUGCUUAACACAUGCAAGUCGAACGGAAAGGUCCUGCUUUUGUGGGUUGCUCGAGUGGCGAAGGGGUGAGUAACACGUGAGUAACCUGCCCUUGACUUUGGGACAACUUCAGGAAACUGGGGCUAAUACCGGAUAGGAGCUCCUGCUGCAUGGAGGGGGUUGGAAAGAUACGGCGGUGGGGGAUGGACUCGCGGCUUAUCAGCUUGUUGGUGGGGUAGUGGACUACCAAGGCGUUGACGGGUAGCCGGGCUGAGAGGGUGACCGGCCACAUUGGGACUGUGAUACGCCCCAGACUCCUACGGGAGGCGGCAGUGUGGAAUAUUGCACAAUGGGCGGAAGCCUGAUGCAGAAACGCCGCGUGCGGGAUGACGGCCUUCGGGUUGUGAACCGCUUUCGCCUGUGACGAGGCGUGAGUGACGGUAACGGGUAAAGAAGCACCGGCUAACUACGUG